AGAGUGAACGCUGGCGGCAGGCCUAACACAUGCAAGUCGAACGGCAGCACAGGGGAGCUUGCUCCCUGGGUGGCGAGUGGCGGACGGGUGAGGAAUGCGUCGGAAUCUGCCUUUUCGUGGGGGAUAACGUAGGGAAACUUACGCUAAUACCGCAUGCGACCCGUUCCGGGAGGAUCGGGGUGAAAGCGGGGGACCUUCGGGCCUCGCGCGGAAAGAUGAGCCGACGCCGGAUUAGCUAGUUGGCGGGUAACGGCCACCAAGGCGACGAUCCGUAGCUGGUCUGAGAGGAUGAUCAGCCACACUGGAACUGAGACACGGUCCAGACUCCUACGGGAGGCAGCGAGUGGGGAAUAUUGGACAAUGGGCGCAAGCCUGAUCCAGCCAUGCCGCGUGAGUGAAGAAGGCCUUCGGUUGUAAAGCUCGUUUGUUAGGGAAAGAAAGACUUACCGGUUAACUAACCGGAGUUACUGAACGGUACCAAAGAAUAAGACACCGGCUAACUUCGUGCAGCAGCCG
Molecule: ribosomal RNA, 516 nt
Filed under: uncultured soil bacterium
Lineage: Bacteria
Description: bacterial SSU rRNA
Rfam family: Bacterial small subunit ribosomal RNA
Source: RNAcentral